UCAGAAACUACGCUUGUGGCGUGUNUUAGUCAUGCAAGUCGAACGAGAAAGCUCUCUUCGGAGAGUGAGUACAGUGGCGAACGGGUGAGUAACGCGUGGGUAACUUGCCUUUGAGUUGGGGAUAACACUUCUAACGAGGUGCUAAUACCKAAUAAUAAAAUGGGGUUUAUGCCCUCAUUUUUAWRGGUGGCCUCKGCUUGCAAGCUGCCGCUUGAAGAUGGACCCGCGUCCUAUUAGCUAGUUGGUGAGGUAAUGGCUUACCAAGGCGAUGAUGGGUAGCCGGCCUGARAGGGUGAACGGCCACMCUGGAACUGASACAAGGUCCAGUCCCUUACGGGGGCCARCAGUCUAGAAAUUUGCWCAAUCGACGAAAGUCGGAUGCAGCGACSCCACGUGGAGGAUGAAGCCCUUCGGGGCGUAAACUCCUGUCAGGAGGGAASAAGGCGUAGGCGCUAAUAGCGUCUAUUGCUUGACGGUACCUUCAGAGGAAGCUCCGGCUAACUACGUGCCAGCAGCCGCGGUAAUACGUAGGGAGCGAGCGUUGUUCGGAUUUACUGGGCGUAAAGAGCACGUAGGCGGGUAUGCAAGUCGGUUGUGAAAUCCUCUGGCUCAACCAGAGAAUUGCAGCCGAAACUGUAUACCUUGAGUCCAGCAGAGGGAAUCGGAAUCAGUCGUGUAGCGGUGAAAUGCGUAGAUAUGACUGAGAACACCGGUGGCGAAGGCGGAUUCCUGGGCUGGCACUGACGCUGAGGUGCGAAAGUGUGGGGAGCGAACAGGAUUAGAUACCCUGGUAGUCCACACCGUAAACGAUGGGUACUAGGUGUUGGAGGUAAUUGACCCCUUUAGUGCCGUAGCUAACGCAUUAA
This 866-nucleotide ribosomal RNA is filed under the name uncultured bacterium. RNAcentral's name for it is "SSU rRNA". It matches the Rfam family "Bacterial small subunit ribosomal RNA", at positions 24 to 863 of the family's 1533-position model. The record is from RNAcentral.